RNAcentral lists this ribosomal RNA (539 nucleotides) under Bifidobacterium longum subsp. infantis. RNAcentral describes it as "bacterial SSU rRNA". It matches the Rfam family "Bacterial small subunit ribosomal RNA", at positions 146 to 700 of the family's 1533-position model. The record is from RNAcentral. Lineage: Bacteria; Bacillati; Actinomycetota; Actinomycetes; Bifidobacteriales; Bifidobacteriaceae.
UCUCCUGGAAACGGGUGGUAAUGCCGGAUGUUCCAGUUGAUCGCAUGGUCUUCUGGGAAAGCUUUCGCGGUAUGGGAUGGGGUCGCGUCCUAUCAGCUUGACGGCGGGGUAACGGCCCACCGUGGCUUCGACGGGUAGCCGGCCUGAGAGGGCGACCGGCCACAUUGGGACUGAGAUACGGCCCAGACUCCUACGGGAGGCAGCAGUGGGGAAUAUUGCACAAUGGGCGCAAGCCUGAUGCAGCGACGCCGCGUGAGGGAUGGAGGCCUUCGGGUUGUAAACCUCUUUUAUCGGGGAGCAAGCGAGAGUGAGUUUACCCGUUGAAUAAGCACCGGCUAACUACGUGCCAGCAGCCGCGGUAAUACGUAGGGUGCAAGCGUUAUCCGGAAUUAUUGGGCGUAAAGGGCUCGUAGGCGGUUCGUCGCGUCCGGUGUGAAAGUCCAUCGCUUAACGGUGGAUCCGCGCCGGGUACGGGCGGGCUUGAGUGCGGUAGGGGAGACUGGAAUUCCCGGUGUAACGGUGGAAUGUGUAGAUAUCGG